Molecule: ribosomal RNA, 392 nt
Filed under: uncultured bacterium
Lineage: Bacteria
Description: partial 16S ribosomal RNA
Rfam family: Bacterial small subunit ribosomal RNA
Source: RNAcentral
AUACGGAGGAUCCGAGCGUUAUCCGGAUUUAUUGGGUUUAAAGGGUGCGCAGGCGGCCAUUUAAGUCAGCGGUUAAAUCGUGGGGCUCAACCCCAUUCUGCCGUUGAUACUGGGUGGCUUGAUUGCGGUCGAGGUUGGCGGAAUUCGUUGUGUAGCGGUGAAAUGCAUAGAUAUGACGAAGAACACCGAUUGCGUAGGCAGCUGACCAGACCGCAAAUGACGCUCAUGCACGAAAGUGCGGGGAUCGAACAGGAUUAGAUACCCUGGUAGUCCGCACAGUAAACGAUGAAUACUUGUUUUCGGCGAUAUAAUGUCGGAGGCAAAGCGAAAGCGAUAAGCAUUCCACCUGGGGAGUACGCCGGCAACGGUGAAACUCAAAGGAAUUGACGGGG